CGGAGACAAUCGUCGAUGCUUACCACAGCGACCGCUCCGCUGCCCAAAACUUCGACGGGACUCAAGGUCGUGUAGAAAGCGACGUUCGUCAAGACGUAGAUGACUGUGACGAGGGUGCAGGAUAUGCCGAUCGCGAGGGGCGAACAGCCCGGAAUAAAAGCUCAGCGCUAUGCUGGUGAUUUCGGUCUUGGUGUUGUCGAAGGUGAAGUACUCGGUGUUUCCUGCUCGAGAUUUUUCGAGGUUAUUGUCAAAAGGAAUAAAAGCCCCGGGGGAAGGCGAGAGGAGUGAAAUGCCUGAGAAGCCGAUCGCGUUCGAUGACCUUGAUCUUCGUGCAGGUCUCUGGCCUAUUGAGCGCUUCUAAACAAAGAGGAGCGAGACGGAGCGCUCGUGGAGCACAAUGUGGAGAGUAACUUGAUAAUUCAAUCAAGAAAGUAAAUCCGGAGGAGGACGCGAACGUGGGAGCUGGAGGACUCGCGUCGGGAUCGAGCGCCCUUUUUCUUCGGGGCUCUUUGAACUUCGAAGUCCGGAAGAAAAAGCACAGGAGCGCGGAGGGAAGACGAGGCUGGCGGGCCGGCAGAGGCAGAAACGGAGACAGCCACGAAUCAUUUGGAUAAAGUUUGAAUGGUCCAAUUUAACCGAUAUUCUUUACACGCACGAGGUUUGUACCCGGCGUGAGUUGCUCUACUCUCGCGGACGUAUUUAGAUCGGCUUUUUGAUUGGGCAAAUUGUCUCGUCCGGUAAGAGAACGACGCUGUGAAAAGACAGGAGGAGCAAGAGUAGUAGAGCCGAAUCUAUACAGAACGCUAUUCAUAGUUAUGUACGUGUGUAAGCCAACAUUAAUCGUGAUAAAGAUCGUAGAAUGUUGUUCGUAAACUCACGCGUAUGAAAAC
This is a long non-coding RNA of Venturia canescens, 890 nucleotides long. RefSeq lists it as uncharacterized. The record is from RefSeq and is a predicted model, not a curated record. NCBI's taxonomy places the organism in Eukaryota, Metazoa, Arthropoda, Insecta, Hymenoptera, Ichneumonidae. The transcript has 3 exons.